RNAcentral lists this ribosomal RNA (478 nucleotides) under uncultured bacterium. RNAcentral's name for it is "bacterial SSU rRNA". It matches the Rfam family "Bacterial small subunit ribosomal RNA", at positions 36 to 507 of the family's 1533-position model. The record is from RNAcentral.
CUGGCGGCAUGCCUUACACAUGCAAGUCGAACGGCAGCGACGGGAGUAAUCCUGGUGGCGAGUGGCGAACGGGUGAGUAAUAUAUCGGAACGUGCCCAGUCGGUGGGGGAUAACGCAGCGAAAGCUGUGCUAAUACCGCAUACGAUCUAUGGAUGAAAGCGGGGGAUCGCAAGACCUCGCGCGAUUGGAGCGGCCGAUAUCAGAUUAGCUAGUUGGUGGGGUAAAGGCCCACCAAGGCGACGAUCUGUAGCUGGUCUGAGAGGACGACCAGCCACACUGGAGCUGAGACACGGUCCAGACUCCUACGGGAGGCAGCAGUGGGGAAUUUUGGACAAUGGGCGCAAGCCUGAUCCAGCAAUGCCGCGUGCAGGAUGAAGGCCUUCGGGUUGUAAACUGCUUUUGUACGGAACGAAACGGCCUGCCUUAAUACGGUGGGCUAAUGACGGUACCGUAAGAAUAAGCACCGGCUAACUACGUG